RNAcentral lists this ribosomal RNA (253 nucleotides) under uncultured bacterium. Its description in RNAcentral is "partial 16S ribosomal RNA". It matches the Rfam family "Bacterial small subunit ribosomal RNA", at positions 524 to 776 of the family's 1533-position model. The record is from RNAcentral.
UACGUAGGGUGCAAGCGUUGUCCGGAAUUAUUGGGCGUAAAGAGCUCGUAGGCGGCUUGUCGCGUCGGCUGUGAAAACCUGGGGCUCAACCCCGGGCCUGCAGCCGAUACGGGCAAGCUAGAAUUCGGUAGGGGAGACUGGAAUUCUCGGUGUAGCGGUGAAAUGCGUAGAUAUCGAGAGGAACACCUGCGGCGAAGGCGGGUUGCUGGGCUGACACUGACGCUGAAGCGCGAAAGCUAGGGGAGCGAACGGG